ACGCACGCUGGCGGCGUGCUUCACACAUGCCAGUCGAACGGAAAGGCCCUGCUUUUGUGGGGUGCUCGAGUGGCGAACGGGUGAGUAACACGUGAGUAACCUGCCCUUGACUUUGGGAUAACUUCAGGAAACUGGGGCUAAUACCGGAUAGGAGCUCCUGCUGCAUGGUGGGGGUUGGAAAGUUUCGGCGGUUGGGGAUGGACUCGCGGCUUAUCAGCUUGUUGGUGGGGUAGUGGCUUACCAAGGCUUUGACGGGUAGCCGGCCUGAGAGGGUGACCGGCCACAUGGGGACUGAGAUACGGCCCAGACUCCUACGGGAGGCAGCAGUGGGGAAUAUUGCACAAUGGGCGGAAGCCUGAUGCAGCAACGCCGCGUGCGGGAUGACGGCCUUCGGGUUGUAAACCGCUUUCGCCUGUGACGAAGCGUGAGUGACGGUAAUGGGUAAAGAAGCACCGGCUAACUACGUG
RNAcentral lists this ribosomal RNA (467 nucleotides) under uncultured bacterium. Its description in RNAcentral is "partial 16S ribosomal RNA". It matches the Rfam family "Bacterial small subunit ribosomal RNA", at positions 29 to 507 of the family's 1533-position model. The record is from RNAcentral.